Molecule: ribosomal RNA, 791 nt
Filed under: uncultured archaeon
Lineage: Archaea
Description: bacterial SSU rRNA
Rfam family: Archaeal small subunit ribosomal RNA
Source: RNAcentral
ACGGCUCAGUAACACGUCGAUAACGUGCCGUGGAGCUCGGGAUAAUCUUGGGAAACUGAGGAUAAUACCGAAUAGGGAAUGGGGUGUGGAAUCCUCCCAUUCUGGAAAGCUUCGGCGCUUCACGAUCGGUCGGCGGCCCAUCAGGUCGUUGGUGAGGUAAUGGCUCACCAAGCCUAAGACGGGUAGGGGCCAUGAGAGUGGGUGCCCCGAGAAGGACACUGAGAUACUGGUCCUAGCCCUAAGGGGUGCAGCAGUCGCGAAACCUCCGCAAUGCACGAAAGUGUGACGGGGGGAUUCUGAGUGCUCACGGAUAUCCGUGGGCUUUUCACAAGGGUAAAUACCUUGUGGAAUAAGUGGUGGGCAAGACUGGUGCCAGCCGCCGCGGUAACCCCAGCGCCACAAGUGGGAACCAUGUUUAUUGGGUCUAAAGCAUCCGUAGCCGGUUCGGCAAAUGCCUUGUGAAAUCGUUGCGCUCAACGCAACGGCGUGCAAGGUAGACUACCGAACUAGGGACCAGGAGAGGCGAGCGGUAUUCCAGGGGGAGCGGUAAAAUGUGAUAAUCCCUGGAGGACCACCAAUGGCGAAGGCAGCUCGCUAGAAUGGAUCCGACGGUGAGGGAUGAAAGCCAGGGGAGCGAUCCGGAUUAGAUACCCGAGUAGUCCUGGCCGUAAACGCUGCAUGCCAGAUGUUGCGCAACCCCCGAGGUUGCGCAGUGUCGAAACGAAGGUGUUAAGCAUGCCACCUGGGAAGUACGGUCGCAAGGCUGAAACUUAAAGGAAUUGGCGGGGGAG